RNAcentral lists this transfer RNA (68 nucleotides) under Rhinoclavis sinensis. RNAcentral's name for it is "tRNA-Gln". The record is from RNAcentral. Lineage: Eukaryota; Metazoa; Mollusca; Gastropoda; Cerithiidae.
UUAACAGCGGUGUUAGCGCACGAAGAAUUUUGAUUUCUUAAGAGAGGGUUACAAACCCCCUUGUUAAA